RNAcentral lists this long non-coding RNA (359 nucleotides) under Nicotiana benthamiana. Its description in RNAcentral is "long non-coding RNA (NBEN_LNC029317)". The record is from RNAcentral. Lineage: Eukaryota; Viridiplantae; Streptophyta; Magnoliopsida; Solanales; Solanaceae.
GGGGGGGAAGUAGAGGGGUUAUCCAGUCAUAAGGUACAAACAGUUAAAAUAAUACUAGUAAAUUCAGAUUAAAAAGAAUUACUGAGACCUAAAUAAAAAUAAAGGAAGGGACCGAGAUAAAAUUUGUUAAUCUGAAAUCAAAAUUGAUUUUCAAAACUAUUUUUUUUUAAAAAAAUUACAAUUUUUAUGUCCAAACGUUUGCUAAGUCUUGUUAAUGGGUAGCAUGGUCUUUUCCGAUCAGUGGAACUUAUCCUGUCAAACCUAAUAAAAAAGCAUCUAUGAUUUCGUACUAAAUUUUACUUACCACAUUCGAUAAAAAUUUAGAUCAGUUGUUUUGUUUUGAGGAGAAAUGGUGCCCG